RNAcentral lists this ribosomal RNA (194 nucleotides) under uncultured Lactobacillus sp. RNAcentral's name for it is "partial 16S ribosomal RNA". It matches the Rfam family "Bacterial small subunit ribosomal RNA", at positions 338 to 524 of the family's 1533-position model. Lineage: Bacteria; Bacillati; Bacillota; Bacilli; Lactobacillales; Lactobacillaceae. The record is from RNAcentral.
CCUACGGGAGGCAGCAGUAGGGAACCUUCCACAAUGGGCGCAAGUCUGAUGGAGCAACACCGCGUGAGUGAAGAAGGUUUUCGGAUCGUAAAGCUCUGUUGUUGGUGAAGAACGUGCGUGAGAGUAACUGUUCACGCAGUGACGGUAUUCAACCAGAAAGUCACGGCUAACUACGUGCCAGCAGCCGCGGUAAU